CCUACGGGGGGCAGCAGUGAGGAAUAUUGGUCAAUGGACGAGAGUCUGAACCAGCCAAGUAGCGUGAAGGAUGACUGCCCUAUGGGUUGUAAACUUCUUUUAUAAAGGAAUAAAACGAGGCACGUGUGCCUUUUUGCAUGUACUUUAUGAAUAAGGAUCGGCUAACUCCGUGCCAGCAGCCGCGGUAAUACGGAGGAUCCGAGCGUUAUCCGGAUUUGUUGGGUUUAAAGGGAGCGUAGAUGGGUUGUUAAGUCAGUUGUGAAAGUUUGCGGCUCAACCGUAAAAUUGCAAUUGAUACUGGCAGUCUUGAGUACAGUUGAGGUAGGCGGAAUUCGUGGUGUAGCGGUGAAAUGCUUAGAUAUCACGAAGAACCCCGAUUGCGAAGGCAGCUUACUAAACUGUGACUGACAUUGAUGCUCGAAAGUGUGGGUAUCAAACAGGAUUAGAUACCCUGGUAGUC
This 460-nucleotide ribosomal RNA is filed under the name uncultured bacterium. RNAcentral's name for it is "partial 16S ribosomal RNA". It matches the Rfam family "Bacterial small subunit ribosomal RNA", at positions 338 to 795 of the family's 1533-position model. The record is from RNAcentral.